CCCUUAGAUGUCCUGGGCCGCACGCGCGCUACACUGAGUGUCUGAGAUACGAGUCUGCCUGGUCCGGCAAGGUCUAGGUAAUCGCUAAAAGACACAUCAUGCUUGGGAUAGAUUAUCGCAAAUAUUAAUCUUGAACGAGGAAUUCCUAGUAAGCGCAAGUCAACAGCUUGCGUUGAUUACGUCCCUGCCCUUUGUACACACCGCCCGUCGCUACUACUGAUUGGAUGUUUAAGCGAGGUUCUCGAACUGCUAGCGACUUAGCUUCGGUGAGGUCGCAGUGUGGGAAGUGAACCUAGCUUUGGUGUCUAGAGGAAGUAAAAGUCGUAACA
RNAcentral lists this ribosomal RNA (329 nucleotides) under uncultured eukaryote. RNAcentral's name for it is "partial 18S ribosomal RNA". It matches the Rfam family "Eukaryotic small subunit ribosomal RNA", at positions 1470 to 1796 of the family's 1831-position model. The record is from RNAcentral.